This 7460-nucleotide long non-coding RNA is filed under the name Theobroma cacao (cacao). RNAcentral describes it as "long non-coding RNA (TCAC_LNC002805)". Lineage: Eukaryota; Viridiplantae; Streptophyta; Magnoliopsida; Malvales; Malvaceae. The record is from RNAcentral.
GGCACUUGCAUUUCCAAAUAUGCCUGCUUGUGACACUUCACCAUCAAAAUCAUUAUGAGAAAGAUUCAGAUGCUUGAGAAAUAAAAUCUUGCUGAGAAACUCGGGAAUUUGCCCAGACAGGUUGUUGCGCGAAAGAUCUAUUUCUUCUAGACCUCUUAAAGACUUCAAAGAUAAAGGAAUUGUUCCUUCAAAUGCAUUACCUUCCAAAUACAGGCGUUCUAAACUAAUACAACUAGCAAGGCUGCUAGGAAUCUCACCUGAAAGUCUGUUCUCUGCUAGGUCUAACUCCACAAGAUUGUCCAGGUUAACAACUUCAACUGGAAUUGAGCCGCUCAAAGAGUUGUUAGACAUGGACAAAGCAAUUGUAAGGGAAGAAAGAGCCAGAAUCUCUCUAGGUAUGGUGCCACUGAGAUUAUUACUAGAAAAAUUUAGUACUAGCAAAUUUUGGCAGUUUCCCAGGCUUGGAGGUAUGCUUCCCUCAAAUCUAUUCUCUUCCAUAAAAAGCCUUAUUAAUGCAGUUAAAUUUCCAAGUGAAAAUGGCAUUGAUCCUGAAAAUCUAUUAUAAUUCAGAUGCAGUCCCUCUAAGUUUUGAAGCUUCCCAAGAACAUCAGGUAAGGUACCUUCUAAUUGGUUACCUUCCAUUCCUAGAGAGUACAAAUUAACAAGGUUUCCAAUGCCAAUAGGGAUGGUUCCAUUAAUCAGAUUCCUUCCUAUGGUAAAACUUUUCAACUUGUCUGAAAGGUUGGCUAUGGAGCUAGGCAGUUCUCCUCCAAAAAGAUUCCCAGCAAGACCUAAUACUCCUAGGGUAGAAAUAUUAGUCAAGGAAUCGAAAAAGCUUAGGUCACCAAUUUUCCCAGUUCCAAGUUUGUUUUCAUCAAAAUUUAGUCUAAUCAAAUGUCCAAGAUUUCCAAGAUUUCGAGGAAUGGUCCCAGUCAGACCAUUUCCUUGAAAGUCAAUUAUCUGAAGUCUAGAAGCAUUUGACAAUGAGACAGGGAUAGUUCCUGUAAAAUUGUUAACACCACCAGCAAAUAUUUCUAGAUUAGGAAGAGUGAGGCCAACAUCUGGUGGUAGAUGUCCCUGCAACUGGUUUUGAGUGACAGAAAAGUAGUAUAUAGAGGAAAUAUUAUAAAUUGAAGGAGGGAUAAUACCAGAUAGAUAAUUUCCAUAAAGAUGAAAAACUCCCAAGCCUGAUAGCUGGCCAAGUUCAUCAGGUAUGGUUCCUUGUAAAUUAUUCUGUGCUAGUGAAAGAGCAUGAAGAGAAGAAAAAUUACCUAUCCAAGUUGGGAUUGUUCCUGUAAGGUUGUUAGCUUGUAGCAGCAGAAAUUCCAACUUCGAUAAUGAAGCAAGCUGGUCUGGAAUUUGCCCAAUUAACCCAUUGAAAGCAAGACGAAUUAUUACAAGUUCUGUACAAUGAGUUAGAUUAGUAGGAAUUUGCCCGCCAAAGGAAUUGUAUGUCAAAUUGAGAUGCUGCAGGCGCAACAGACGACCGAUUUCUUGAGGAAUUUCACCACGGAAGUUAUUGUUUACCAGGUUGAUUCUGGUGAGGGAUGUAAGGUUUCCUAUGGAAGGUGGUAGGGAGCCAACUAACUUUUGAUCCUCCAGGUUCAGAAUUACCACUCUUCCAUUCGAUGGGCUGCAAGUGACGCCAACCCAGCUGCAAAAAUGAACAGAAUUGUUCCAUGAGUCCAUGACAUGACGAGGAUCUUGAGUUACCCGAUUUUUGAAAUCAAGCAAAGCUAAUCGAUCAGAUUCAUUUGCAAAAGCAGGUAUCAUUGCAGAUUCCGAACACGAACUCAUCCACAAAAGUAAAAUCCCCUGAAAGAACAAACAAGUAAGCUUCAUGCUUACUCCUAGAAAAAAAUCAAAAUUAAGAACCUAAUGCCAUAUAUCAAAUUACGUAAAAGAGAAACAAAUAGAGAUAGAACUCAUUGGAGGACCACACUAUCCUGAAAAUAUCCAGAGAUUUGAAAGUUCAUCAACCGAGAUGGUACAAGAUUAUUAAAAUGAUUAAACCUCUUUCUGUUUUGACUUUUGGUGCAAGUGAGUCAUCUUGCAUACUUACUCGUGGAAAAUCUUCACUGGAACGAGACCAGCCGAUGACAAGUUCAAGGAUGGCCUAAACCUCCAUAUCUUUGCUCAAGAUUGGCUAAUACUCCGGACAGGGUAAUUGAAGUGGCUGUUCCCACAAUCCUGGAAGACGUACGCAUGCACUUAAAGUUCAAGAUAUCGACCAGGCAAGCUCAAGAAGUAACAUUCUAAAAGAAAAGCAUGAAGAUGAAAGAUGUUAUCAGAAUAUUGCAAGAAACUGUUCAUCAAAGCAUGAACAUCGCUGAUGUCAGGUUGUUGAAAAAAUCUCUAUAUAUAUAUAUAUAUAUAUAUAUAUAAGCUGGUCAAGAGUCAUGUUGACAAUCAUAUCACAGGAUAGCUGCUUUUCCAUCGUAUUAGACUUNCUAUAUAUAUAUAUAUAUAUAUAUAUAUAAGCUGGUCAAGAGUCAUGUUGACAAUCAUAUCACAGGAUAGCUGCUUUUCCAUCGUAUUAGACUUUUGUGUUUUCGUGCAGUAAAUGUGUCAGAUACGAUUAGAUACGAAACACGUUAUAAUUAUAAAUAAGAUAUUAUUUAAUAUUUAUAUUUUAAAUUUAAAAUAUGUACACGUAUACGUUUAAUAAAUUUAUAAUAUGACACAAUACAAUUAACACACUUAUUAAAUGUAUCAAUAUACGACACGAUUAAUAACACGUUUAACACAAUUAAAUAAAAAUAUUUAUAAUUAAAUAUAAUUUUAUUAUUUAGAUUUAAAAUCUAUAAUUAUAAAAAUAAUUAUAAUAAAAUAAAAAUAAUAAUAACAUCAAAUAUAAUAAAAUUUAAUAUAAAUAACAUAUAUAAAAUUCAUUAUCAUAUAAUAUAAUAAAAUACAUAAUUAACAUCUAACCUUCAAAUACUAAUAAUAUAAAAAAUCAUUCAUAAUUUUCAAUUGUAAUAAUUACAUUAUUAUUUUUAUAAAAUUAAAAAAACUUAUUAAAAUAAUUAUUUAAAAUUAUUUAUAUAAGAUUAAAAUAAUAUUUAACUAUUAAUUUUUAAUAAGUUAAUAAACAUGUCACUUAUACACGUUUAAACACGAUAUCACGAUAAUGUAAACGUGUUUUAAACGUAUUUGUCAUGUCUAACACGUUAUGACAUCAAAAUUUUCGUAUUUUAACGUGUCAGAUAUGAUUAGAUACGAAACACGUUAAAAUUUAAUUCAAAACCUGUUUAAUUCAUGUCUUCUCGUAUUGUGUUAACGUAUCGCAUUCAAAAUUAUCACAUCUACAUCAUAUUCACUACAACAAAAGAUCAAAAUUUUUAAACAGUGAGAUAUUGACGCUUCUAUUUGGAAAACUAUAUGCAAUUUUUUCACGGUUUCCUCCUAGAACACGAAGUUGGACUUUAUUUUAGUAGGUAAUUACUUGGGUAUUAUUUGAUUAGGUGUGGCAUCUUUUUAUGGGCUGCUUGAAGUUUGCUGCAGAGAAAGAGAACUUGCUGCGCACAAAGGUUUACUUGUCAAAGUUGAUACACAAUAUUUUGGUCAUAUAAAGCCUGUUUACUCAUAAAAUAAUCCAAGCCCAUGUACCAAUUAUUCGUCUCAUUCAAUUCCCAAAAGGAAAACAAAGGAAAAAAAGAGACAAAAAUUUAUUGUAAGGUGAGUUAGCGCCAUUCAAUUUUGUUUUUCUCUUUAAAUUAAUUUAAACCUAACAGUUUGGUUGAUGGUACAGUGUGGGCUCAACGUGCUCAAAUAAGCAGCUAUAGAUAGGAUGAACAAUAGUACUUCAGCACCAAUCAGGAGGCCAAAGAAUGCAUGCAUAAAUUGCAGCAUCAGUUUGAAGAUUCCAUCUUAUCUGUCCACACUUGAACCUCAAUUGACAAGUUGACAUUCAGCAUUUCCCUUCCUAUUUUUAGGCACUUAAUACUUUUAUUUUUAUUUUUACAAAUUAGCAUUAAUAGGGAUGGAAAGAGUAAUUAAAUUUACAGAGUAAGAGCUUGAAUCAAGAUAUGUUUUCAUUGUUGUUUUUUUUUUUUUUGAAAUUUCAUUUGUAUUGAAGAAAGGGAGAACCUGAGUUCACCACUUACAACAAAUUUUCAAGGUUAUUUCCCAACAACCAGGGGUAUACCAUUACAAAAUUCUCUCCUUGUCGAAUUCCCUGUACACUUUCAGAAAGGAAACCACCCUAAACACCCACAGCGAAACCAGCCAACCCCACUAACUCUGGUUAGCCACUUGCACCCAAAAAGCACCCUCAGACAAUGAACAAAAUGAAAAGAGGACACCUAACAGUAAAACAGUCCCCUGCAUCAACAGACACCACAAUAAUCAUGCAAAGAAAGACCAACCAAUGCACUACCAUUACCUAUCAACCGUAUAGGGAUGCCCCAUCUUGAGCAACGCCAUCAUAAUCAUCAUUGCAAGAGGAGCAGACCUACUCAAACUCACGGUUCACAGUUCAUUUGCGGUUGAUUGCCACAUCUCUUGUUCUCUCUUCUCUGUUAGGUUCAUCCGCCCAAAUAUUAAGCAGAUCAAUCUCCCUACCUAUUCCAGAUUUUGCAAGUUUAUCAGCGUGUUGGUUGCCCUCCCUUCUUACAUGCUUGAUAGCCCAUGUUUUCAUUGUUGUUAAUAGAUAAUUAGUUUAUUAUCGGGCCAUGAUCCAUGAGAGAAUGAAACUUGAUGAUAUUAUCAAAGAAUUGCUGCUGGUCAGAGGUCUUCUUUUUGAAUCGGCUAUGACACAAAGAUGAGACACCAUUUAGAAAUGAAAUUCUUCUAUUCUAGAUUUAUGAUCCCAUGUUUAGACUUUGAAAUCUCUGAGACUGUUACAGUUCUGAUGCAAGGGUCUGGGAUUUGUAAAUGGAAUUGGAAACUAGUUCAGACCCUUAGCUCAAGAUCCAAACCACCAACAAUAAGAAUAUAAGUGUAAAGAAAAACCCACAGCAGAUUAUCAUAUUUUGGAGUUCAAGACAGGAUCCUACUCCCAGGUAAUCAAAUUUACCUUAAACCUUGUUCUUUUUUACCCAAGAAAAAAAAACAUAUGUCCCAAAGCAGAGAUUGUCUGAUAUCAUUGUCCGAAAGUAUUAGAGAAUACAUAAAAGUCAAUAAUUGCCAAAAAUCUAUGAACUUGGUUGCACUUUGUAGAGUAAAGACAUUGUUGUUUUUCAAUUACUUCUGCAAUUUCAAUCCAAGGAACAUUGUUAAACUUUUCCAAAGACAAUAUUUGCUAAGAUAAAAGUUACAUUUUGCUGAGAGAAGAAAAAUACAAAAUGAAGAAGAUAGGUGCUGCACACAGUUCAAUUUAAUUGGAACAUAUAUAUAGUUUAAUACAAACUGCUGAAAGGAAGUUAUCCUAUUGGUGGAAACUAACUACCUGGUCAUUCUACUGCUACAAACGUGUUCAGCAGUUGGCAAUGUGUGGGAUAAAGUCACUAAUCCACAAUGCAAGGUGGAUAAACUACAACUCCUAUACAACUGCUAAAGGAAACUAACUAAAAAACAAACACUAGAGACAUGAAAUGGAAGGCAACUUAAAAGUCUGGAAAUAGAUACAACUUAAACACGACAUAAAAGGUCAUGUGAAUCAGUAGCACGUGAUUGUCUUCUCCUCCACUCUCUUGGCGGCAAAUUCUAUGAACACUGGUAACCAAGCUCUGUGCAGAAUCAAAAACCAGAUAUUUCAACUAACGCGGCUUUGAUAUCAAGCAAGUUGUUCACAACAACAGUCAUAGUCAUCCGCUCACUUGGCAAUGUUGCAGCACAGGAGAGUCCGAUUUUCAUCAUUGAAACCAAACAUUCUUCUCUUCUCCUUAUGGAACUUACAUGAGAAUCCUGGUUUUUAAUUAAUGCCCUCUCUUCUACAUAAUCUUCUCUGUUUCCUCUGACCUUCUUGUGAACAUUUUCUUCUUCAAAAAGCAUUGAUCUGUCAACGAUGUCCAUGACAUGUCCAGGCAAAGCCCUGUCAACGAACUCACAAAUUCCGAGAUCAUCUUCAAAGCUGUCAUCAGUUGGUCUUUUGCCUGUAAGCAUCUCCAGUAACAGAAUUCCAUAACUGUAGGUAUCUCCAUGUAUGGAAACUUGGCCACCCAUGCCAUAUUCUGCAACUUGUAAUGGACCACAAUUAGCCAUCUUUGUAUUUAUAUACCAACAAACAUAUUUCAAUGCAGUAAAUUGUUUUAAGUUGUUUGAAGGUUGAAAAUUAAAAAUUUUCAACUACUUUUGCCUAUGAUUACCUGAUUUAUUCCUAUAGAAAUUGUUAAUUAUGAGGUAACAGUGAUCCAUCAACAUGAAAAUCAUACCUGGAGGAAUGUACCCCAUGGAACCCUUUAGCCUGACUGACAUAGUCUGACUCCUGGAGGCAUUACUUGAUGAAUCAAAGAUGAACCUUGCCAGUCCAAAGUCACCAACAUGUGCAGUAAUAUUUUCAUCAAGGAGUACAUUGCUUGGCUUUAGAUCGCAAUGAACAAUGGGUGUGACACAAUGGUGAUGAAGAUAAUCCAAAGCAGAAGCAAUAUCGAUGGCUAUAUUCAGUCUCUGGAUAAGGCUCAAUCUCAUGCUUUGGUACUGGUCAUUACCUCCAGGAUGCAGCCACUGAUCUAGAUUUCCAUUAGGCAUAAACUCAAAUACAAGAGCUUUGAAGUCAUUUCCUUGAUGAUCAACAGUAGAGCAAGCGGUUAUGAUCUUGAGGAGGUUGCGGUGUCGCACACUUCUCAAAGCAUUGCAUUCAUCAAUGAAACUCCUAGAUGCUCCUUGCUGUUGAAGGUUUAAUACCUUAAUCGCAACAACUGUUUCGUCUCUGGAUAUAGUUCCUUUAUAUACCGAACCAAAACUACCUGAACCAAUCAAAUUUUCUUCAGAGAAGCCAUCAGUUGCUUUUACAAUAUCUGAGUAAGACAUACAUAAUUGCCAUUCCUUCGAGAAUGAUGCAUUGGAUUGAUUCCCCGAGUUUCUUACUCGAUGAUAUGAAGCAUAGGAACAGAGAAGAAGAACAACAAAUAUGACUGCACCAGUUACUGGGAUCACCACCUUGGGGGCAAGACGUCUUCCAGGACUUUUUCUGGUGCAUGUGGGUAAAUGUAAAUCCUGGACACCACCACAGAGCUUAUUGUUUCCAACUACAGAAAAGGCACUUGCAUUUCCAAAUAUGCCUGCUUGUGACACUNUUUUCAACUACAGAAAAGGCACUUGCAUUUCCAAAUAUGCCUGCUUGUGACACUUCACCAUCAAAAUCAUUAUGAGAAAGAUUCAGAUGCUUGAGAAAUAAAAUCUUGCUGAGAAACUCGGGAAUUUGCCCAGACAGGUUGUUGCGCGAAAGAUCUAUUUCUUCUAGACCUCUUAAAGACUUCAAAGAUAAAGGAAUUGUUCCUUCAAAUGCAUUACCUUCCAAAUACAGGCGUUCUAAACUAAUACAACUAGCAAGGCUGCUAGGAAUCUCACCUGAAAGU